Molecule: long non-coding RNA, 6625 nt
Filed under: Sus scrofa (pig)
Lineage: Eukaryota; Metazoa; Chordata; Mammalia; Artiodactyla; Suidae
Description: lncRNA (ENSSSCG00035004005.1)
Source: RNAcentral
UUUUUUUUUGGUAUUCUUUCGCACAUGGGACUCCAGCCAUAAGGCGCAUUUACAUAAUGUUAUUAUUGAUGGAUUAAGUGAUUGAAGAGAAUAACUCAGACUCGUAAACUACCUUUCCAACAAGGAGAAGCUAAGACCCUUUAGCCUAGAGGUUGUAACAUGGUGGCUUAAGACAUUCUUCAUUUAAGAGCCUUUGUGUAAGUCCUGCCAGAGUCCAUUUCUCCUCACUCCCCAUCGGCUUACACCUGGCCCCCUUCUCUCGGUGGCGGUACCCACCUGGUCCCAGAAACUGUAUGCAUCUUUAGAAACCAGUGUCCCCUCUUUCCAGACGGGAAAAUGCAAGAAUGGAGGGCUUAAGCAGCUUGUUCCAAUACAAUACUCUUCCAAGAAGUCCACAUUCGGGGUUCCUUUUCUUUAGCACUACAGCACUACGGGUCCAGCUACAGGCCAACAUCUCCCGGUUCCUAGUCAGAUUUGUUUCUGCUGCACCACAACGGGAACGCCAAACAUCUCCUAAGAUGGUAGUAAACUCGACUUCCACAGACCAGCUUCACCACCCACAUCCUAAAAGGCAUGUAGAUUCCUAGGACCUGGUCAACUCCAAGAACCCGGGGACAGCCUUUCCCAAAGGGGAGAGGUCUUUGCAGGACUUACGGCACAGUCCCCAGAUGGGCCCCUACUAUCUGCCUGGGUGUAAUCAUGGAGGAUACGGGGCUGACUCAACACACCCAUAUAUCAAAGUCAACCGUCUUGUGGGGUCCAGGGAACUUUGUAUCAUUGCCUUCAGGGCAGCCCAAGGCUUUGGGAGUAAACAUCCUGACCCAGCCUGACCAAAUCAUGUACUUCCCCAACUCAAUUCCCAGGUAGCACCCACCCUGGAGCUCCAAUCCCAGCCAUGUGUUUGACCUGAACAGAGAAAGUCACAUCCCACCUUCUCCCUGGGGCUCUCUCACUUGCACGGGGCAUCAGUGUUCUUCCCUAUGUUGGCCAGCUUUCUGACUGUUUUCUCGAGAAGCACUCAAUACCCACACUGACUGCAUUGGCAAGAUGCACAACCACCACAGCUCGACCAGCACCAACCCUCGGAUGUGUGGCCAGGAAGGUAUCGUGAUACUCUGCUCAGACUUCAAUGUAAUUCUAAGAAGGAGAAACUGCAUUCAACGAAGAGUCGGAGGAACUCAGGAGUGUUCAAGUAAAAGGGGAACAAGAAAGGCAACCACUCGGCAAGAGGGGUCGUGAGCUGCUGAAGGGAAACUCUAGGUCAGGUGGUGGUGGGUGGGCUCAGCCUCCUUAGGGCAGAGUGCCUCACUCACAAUGCCCCCGAGAAGGGAUGUUUUGGAGAGGUGCACUUGGCAAUCUGGGAUCUCAAUGUACAAAUAUGUAUGGAGAGCUUUCAGCCCAUCAUGGAAUGUGCUAGGUCCUGUGGAGGUUUUAGAGAGGAAGGCACUGUGAUUCUCUGGCUCAGAGAGCUUACCAACUAGUAAAGAACCCAGGACAGGGUGGCACGUACCUGUACUCCAUGGCACCGUAUGGGUGUGAUGUGAAAGGUACAGACUAAUUUCAGAAAGGGCACCAAGGAUGCAGGAGCAAGAUUUACUCUAUCAAGUUGAGAUCAUGACCAUUUGGAACUUCAUCAUCUUUUCCAAGAAAACUAGGAAAAAGGAAGUGAGGGACACCCAUGGUGGAGAUGACUCGGUGUAAAAAUGACCUGAUGGGGAUUCGACCCGCAGAGACAUUUAAGAUUUUCUUUUUAGGAACCAAGAGAAAGAAGCGUAGGCAUCCAGGAAGUAAUUAAUAUUGAACCGAGGCAAGGAUUGACCCAGGGCUGGUAACAGGACACCCCCAAAGUGUGCAGAUGAAUAAGUGAGAGGAAAAUAUCAUUAGGGACUAGAGACCUGGCCGGAAGACUCGUGGCUCCCUAAUAUUGUGUAUUUGCAUUAAAAUGUGAGCAGAAAUAACACCAAUUAGAGUUCCAAAGAAUGAGCCAAUAACUGACUUUCUCCCUCUUUCAUUAGCCCAAAUAGCCCUUUAUUCAAGGAGCUCAAAGUAUCUCACAUUUUUAUCUCUGGAUCCCCACAACCCAACUCCAUACUAGGAACAUACUAGGUGUUCAGUUAAGUGUUGAAUUAAGGAAUGGAAGCAUGAACCCCAAGCAAACACAAGAGCAAGAGUAUAAAGGCGGCUCUAGCAGUCGAACUGACAUCCACUCAUAUGCAUUUAACUUUCUGUCAAGAAUAAUGUCUCUGAAUACCAGUUUCCUCAUCAAGACAGAGAUAAUUAUAGAGACCUCCCUGGACUCUGCAAGGAUUAAAUGACCCAGGAAAAUACUUUGUAAGCUUGGAAAGCACCAAAAUAUAUCCCUUUCCAAAUUGAUACUGUGUUUACACAAUGAAGAUGCUUUUUAUUGGGAAACCAGAGAGUCACCUUUAAGCCCUCCUUGUCCUGUUUUGCCCCAUCUGGGAACAGUCCCAUCAAGUCCAUUAUGGGUGGGCAAGCUGCCCUCACCACUAACUCCUAUGCAAGGAAGCAGUCACAAAAAACUUGAUGAGGAGGGUUAACCAGCGAUGUCGGCAGGGCUGUUCUGGGCACACGGAGCCAAGGAGUUUCUUAGUCUGCUACUUGCAAGCAGGAAGUUCCCUUAUCCCCACUCUGGGUUUGCUGAGCCCUAGAAUUAAGGUGUCAGAUGGAGAUGCAGGCUUUGUUCACAUGGAAAAGCUGCUGAUUUAACAACUUUUAUAUCUACGCGCACCCAAGCAUGCACGGCCGACACUUGUCUGCUCUUGACAAGAUAACUGGGCCAUGUGGUGACAAUAUUAAUUAGACAAUUGCUGCUGAAGAAGAAAUUUGCACAGCUCUCCACCUGUUUUCCCUUGAGACUCGGUUCGCCUACAACCAACAGCCAACCGGGUCUGAUGGGUCAAAUGGUACGGUUGUCGUGUUCUCCAGGGUAGCAGUUCCAGAAGAAACACUGGAGCUGCAGAAGACCUGGCAGCCUCCUGGGAUGGAACCCAGCCUCUAGAACCUUCUUCGCAAAGCAUUCACUGUCCAGAAGUUGAACACCAAACCCUAGGCUGGCCACUCGGAACUCUUCAGCAGUCUUAUUGGGGCAGUAAGUGAACAACAUGGCAUUAGGCUGGGCAUCCUUGUAGACAUGGGUUCAAACCCAAGGUCUGCCUUGUGCGAGCUGUGUGAUCCUGAACUACAUAAUUUACUCUUCUUUCCAUACCAUGAGAAUAUUAUUUCCUUCCCUAUAGAACUGUGUUGAGAAUUAAAUAAAAUUACGUAUGUCUAACUUCUCUCCCCUGGCUAUUUGCCCUUCUCCUUACCCUCCUAAGUGCUAGCUGAGCCAGUCGAUGCACUAUCGCUAGAACAGUUACUUUCUCACACACAUGCGUGGCUCCACCAUACACCAUCACCUGGACCUGCUCCCCUUUCCCGUCUCCAGAUUAACCUUAUCCCAUAAGCCUCCGCGCAUACCCUCCGUCCUGGCAGCGUCCUCCAGGCUCCCCAGCUGAACAGGACCCCUCCUUUUUCUGAAAUGCCAUGGCCCUAUUACUAGGGAUCUUUCCGAUGCAUGUGACCAAACUCUUGAGGGAGGCAAUUGGUUUGUAUGCCCCUUGGGACUCUGUUUUGGAUGGAGCUGCAGAGCCUAUUACUUCAUGGAACUGAGCCCAUGCCACCUGCCAUCCUUUACAGAACUUAAACACUGAGGGACCGAAUCUCAGUAUUCCUGACAGCGCAUCUGCAGGAAAAGCCCCUCUGCCACUGCUGUCUUUCAGAAGCAUGUAAAACUCAUCUCUUCUAUGCCUGGCAGGCAUAGAAAAGUCACUUUUUAAUCAUCUCUGUGUCAAUCCAGUCUGCAGUGAACAUCCUGCUCAUUUAUCCAACAAGUGUUUCUUGAGUCCUGCUGUGUCCCAUGUCUUUCUCUGCAGUCCUUUAAAAAUCACUGCUCAGGUCACGAGCUGGUCUCUGAGCUCUCCCGGAAGCAGAAUCCCUGAAGGAAUUGACUCAAAAUGCACGCAGCCUCCUGGCCUCAACUCCAGAACCCCUGCAUCAGAGUCAAGAGGGCUGGUGCCUAUAACCUUCCUUUUAAUGAGCUCCCAUUGUGAGUCUCAAGCACAUAGAAUUUAAGAACUAAGUCUCUAUGGAGUUUCCCUUGUGGCUCAGUGGGAAUUCACAGGCCAAAUCCUAAUAUUCCGAGAUCUGUUGAACUGGAUCUCCUACACUCUUUCCAUUAAAAAAAAAAGAUAAGUGGUUCGAUUCAAUGAGGCAAAAUAAAUAGCAGCUGGUCGUGACUGUGACUGCCUGAGACCUGCAUUUCCAAGUGGUUUCCAAUCACUAAUUCAUCUUGUACUAGCGGAGAGUUAAGCUAGCGGAGAGUUAAAGCUAAUCUGGGAGUUCCCAUCCUGGCGCAGUAGUUAACAAAACCGACUAGGAACCAUGAGGUUGUGGGUUCAAUCCCUGGCCACACUCAGUGGGUUAAGGAUCCGGCGUUGCCAUGAGCUGUGCUGUAGGUCACAGAUGCAGCUCGGAUCUGGUGUUGCUGUGGCUCUGGCUUAGGCCAACAGCUACGGCUGCAAUUAGAUCCCUAGCCUGGGAACCUCCACAUGCCUCGGCGGGUGCAGCCUUAGAAAAGACAAAAAGACAAAAAAAAUAAGCUAAGUCUGAAAAGGCAGAUCAUCCUGUCCGGGCCUGACCUGGAGAGUCUGCUGUAGCCAAGCCAAACCUAAAACGCCGCCAUAACUCACUUUUUUCUUUCACUUCUCUUUUAUUGCAUUUACAGGAUCCCUGUGGAUUCUCCCACUUGUCUCAAUUCAGGAGUCUGGAUUUCCUGGGAUUCCUGAAAACAUCUCUAGAAACCGAUAGGAAGAUGGGGCUGUCAACACCAGGCGGGAUGGGUCAGCGGGCUCUUGAAGGCGGGGGCCUCAGAGCAGAAGGGGAUGCCCAGCACCCCUACAUCCUGCUGAGUUCUGGGGAGAGACUGGUGGGGAUUGGGGACCUCAGCUGCAGACCAGCUGUGCUCAGAGGGGAGAGGAAGUCCUCACACCUUUGUUUUAUGUUUUGCUUUUUAAGGCCGCACCCACUGCACAUGGCAGUUCCCAGGCUAGGGGUCAAAUCGGAGCUGCAGCUGCCAGCCUAGGCCUCAGCCACAGCAACACCAGAUCUGAAUCUGCAACUUAUGCCACAGCUCACAGCAAUGCCGGAUCCUUAACCCACUGAAAGGGGCCAGGGAUCAAACCUGCAUCCUCAGGGAUACUAGUUGGGUUUGUUUCCGCUGAGCCACCAUGGAAAAUCCUCAGCUUUGGAGCACCUCUGAUGGGAGGGCGCUGUGGUCUAGAGAAGAUACAAGACUUGAGUGAUGCCCUGGGGCCAUAUUUUUUCUACAUUGUGUCUAAUGCCUCUUGCCUACUAGAAAACAUCACGUCUAGAAUUACCUAACGCGGGAGCUGAUGCUUUUACAUCUGUCGUAUUUCUUGAAUCUCUCCUUUCUUCUCCAGUUCCACAGCUAGGAUCUUAGCCCAAGCCUCAACUACCAUAGUGGACCUGGCGCUGGCUGCCUGUCCUGCCUCCUUUCUGGCCCCCUCUCUGAUUUCCUUUCCACACUGAAAUAGGGGACAGGGUGUCACAGGCACCUGUGACCACAGCACCUGCUCUCUGCAAAAGCCAUUCAGAGACUUCCCAUUGCCAGCAGGACAUGGGCUCAGCUCUGUCACUUGUCACUCAAGGCCCUUCUCUCCAGCCUCAUCUGUCCCCUCUCCUAUGCUCAACAAUCCUGACCAAAGAUGAGGACAGGUAUGGACUCUCAGAGCAAACCUGGCAUGCAUGCUUACCUCACAGCCAUCUUUCAGGUCCCUGGGCUGCUGCCCUCCUCAGAAGCCGGCCUCAACCUCCUGAGACGAGAUUAAGCAUCUCGUCCACCUGCUGCUGCCUGCUGGGCCCACCCCAUUGCCGUUCUUAGCUAUACUGCCCUGAAAUCGCUCAGUUAUCCUUUCUGCUUUCCCUACUGGACUGAAUUCCUUGAAGGCACAGACUCUGCCAUCGCCAUGUCCCCAGGAACUAGCCUGGUGCCAGCCCACAGCACCCACCCCAGAAAGGCCAGCGGCAUCACGCAGGGCUGCCCAAAGAGGGGAAUGUGUGUCUGCCCCACUGGUCCUCAUGACAGCACCAAGCACCAGGCACUCUUGGCCUCUGCUCGCCAAGAAGAGGCGGUAGGUGGAGUAGGGUGGCAAGUCCAGCUGCACUGAUGCAAUUCUGCUCUGCCACUUCAAGUCACUUAACUCCCUGUACGCCCUUCUUACCUGCUUCCUCAUCUGUAAAAUGGGCUCCCCAUGGGACUGUGAUGAGGAUUGGAGAGAAAAGCUGUGAGAAGUGUCUGAGCUGAUAGACAGCAGAGUGGAGAGGUUGAGAGCACCGGGACGUUAAGCCAGCAAGCAACCUCGGGCAGUGCAGCUCAUAUAAGCCUCAGUUUUCUCAUCUGUAAAAUGGGACCAACAGCCACAUCUGCAAUGCCAAACUGCCUCCUCUAAAUAGGGCAAGGAGCUUCCUGCUGCCUUGGGCACAGGGAGGAGUGGCUGAGUGGAUGGGUGAGCCUAGGCCAACAAGCUGAGCAGGUAUGGUUUGGUCC